RNAcentral lists this transfer RNA (72 nucleotides) under Plethodon montanus (northern gray-cheeked salamander). Its description in RNAcentral is "tRNA-Asx". Lineage: Eukaryota; Metazoa; Chordata; Amphibia; Caudata; Plethodontidae. The record is from RNAcentral.
UAGAUUAACCCUGUUGUAAUUGGAUUUUAGCUGUUAACUAAAAGGUCGUAGGAUAAAAGCCUACUAAUCUAG